AGUGGACUGUAAGAUGCUCCUUGUGUGAAACGCUGUGAUACUAAGGUCGCUGGUUCAACUCCAGCCGGAAGCACCUCCUUGUCAUUGGAAAUACCCCCAAGCCUUGUCUUUAUCUGUCAACUCCUCCAAAAUGUAAAAACACAAACAAGAUAACUCUUUCUUAAAUUUUUAACCAUCAAUUUUUUAUUCACCCAGCCUAAAAGUCCUGAUUAUCAGUUCUGGGUCCCUGGCAAUGACUGUUGGGUACAAACUGCAAAGCUUUGUUGUGCAGGUAGGGCUGGGCUUUUCAUUGACCAUGGGUUGGAAUAGUUCUGUGGGCAUAGUUUGUCUCCGAAGCCACUAUGUUUUCUGCACUUGUGACUAGAGAGCACCUUGAUAGCUCAGUUGGUCGAGCAGUGGACUGUAAGAUGCUCCUUGUGUGAAACGCUGUGAUCCUAAGGUCGCUGGUUCAACUCCAGCCAGAAGCACCUCCUUGUCAUUGGAAAUACCCCCAAGCCU
This is a non-coding RNA of Xyrichtys novacula (pearly razorfish), 498 nucleotides long. The record is from the annotation of a GenBank genome assembly. Lineage: Eukaryota; Metazoa; Chordata; Actinopteri; Labriformes; Labridae.